GAUGAACGCUGGCGGCGUGCCUAAUACAUGCAAGUCGAGCGAACGGACGAGAAGCUUGCUCCCUUGCUGUUAGCGGCGGACGGGCGAGUAACACGUGGAUAACCUACCUAUAAGACUUGGAUAAUUUCGGGAAACCGGAGAUAAUACUGGAUCAUAUUUUGAACCGCUUGGUUCAAAAGUGAAUGACGGUUUUGCCGUCACUUUUAGACGGUUCCGCGUUGCAUUAGCUAGUUGGUAAGGUAACGGCUUACCAAGGCAACGAUGCGUAGCCGACCUGAGAGGAUGAUCGGCCACACUGGAACUGAGACACGGUCCAGACUCCUACGGGAGGCAGCAGUGGGGAAUCUUCCACAAUGGGCGAAAGCCUGACGGAGCAACGCCGCGUGAGUGAUGAAGGUCUUCGGGUCGUAAAACUCUGUUGUUAGGAAAGAACAUAUGUGUAAUUAACUGUGCACAUCUUGACGGUACCUAAACAGAAAGCCACGGCUAACUACGUG
RNAcentral lists this ribosomal RNA (497 nucleotides) under uncultured bacterium. RNAcentral describes it as "partial 16S ribosomal RNA". It matches the Rfam family "Bacterial small subunit ribosomal RNA", at positions 28 to 507 of the family's 1533-position model. The record is from RNAcentral.